AUGGACGCUUUGAGGCCUGUCUUGAAGCAUCACCAGCUCGCCGUCGGUCGCCAUACCGCCAUGCCGUCGGCUGCAACUUUUUUCUCACACCCAUUGAAGCUUUUUCACAAAACGGUUGAAGCUUUUUUUGGCGACGGUUCCAGCUUUUGCGGUUGCGUGGUGUGGCCGGUCCUCAAAAUUCAUCGCCUUCGAUUGAAGCUUCCUAGGAUGCUGGUUGUAGCAAAAAAAAUUAUGUUUGCAUCUCCCUCCACGCCAUUCACAGCCUCCUUUUUCUCUCUCUUUGAAUGGUUCCAGCAAAAAAUUGAUCCAGCAAAAAUUCAGAAAAUGGGGAGUAGCAAAACACAAAAGACGGUGGUAGCAAAAAUCAAACACCAUUGUAGCAAAACUUGGAGUGGUUUCGGCAAAAAUAAGAUGGAUCCAGCAACAAAGUCAAAAACGGGUUGGUAG
This 447-nucleotide ribosomal RNA is filed under the name Triticum aestivum (bread wheat). Its description in RNAcentral is "partial small subunit ribosomal RNA". Lineage: Eukaryota; Viridiplantae; Streptophyta; Magnoliopsida; Poales; Poaceae. The record is from RNAcentral.